CGCGUGUCAGCAGCGGGGGAGGGGCUUUCAUUUCUUUCACACACACAGGCGUAGAAAUGUGCACGAGCAGUUUGGGGGCUUCAGGGGUGCUCUGGGAAGGGCGCCUCCGUGUGAGCGUGGGGGCGCACUGUGAUCAGCUCACCCAGGGCCCAGAGCCGCGGGGACGCAGGCGCCAUGCCUGCCAGCGACCUUGACCCUGUCUCCCGGGAUUGACGUCUGUCCUUGCAGGUUCCUGAGAACAGAGUGACGCCUCAGCAAACUUUCCAGAAAAAAAAAAAUCCCAAACAGAUCGGGCCCCCCCCCCCGACCUGCUGACGCCAGCUACGUGACCUUGACCACAGCACCACGCCCAUAUCUGUACAACGGGGUGCAUUGCAGCUUCCCGGGGUCUCUCCCAGCUUGGCUUUAUUUUUCUUUCUUCAGAGAGCAAAUAGGAUGAAAAGCAGAAGUGGCCCUGAAAAGUGUGCACCUGUGAGAGGUGGCCGCGACUCCUCCCUGGCUGGCCGUCGGGAGCAGGAGCUGGAAGGAGCAGGUGACGUCGGCUGCGCUCAGGGCACUGGGCAGAGAGGAGGGGCGUCCGCACUCAAGCCACAGCCUGCUGGACGGCGGAUCAAGUUGGCUGGGGUGGGACAGAGAGCUGGGUCCUGGAGGAGAACACAGGGCUCAGAGGCCAAGGUGUGGGCGCCGGGAGCACACACGGCAGAGGGCCGAGCCGAGGAGAAAUCCAGACCCGCCUGUCUCACCGGUGAAGGCAGCCAGGGAGGACUUCCCGGAGAAGGUGACUUAACUGAGUUGUGUGCGCACAUUCCCCCAGCAGAGGAGAGCGGAGAGAAAACCAGAACGUUGCAGCCGAAGCCCAGAGCCAGGAAAAGGCAGGGAUGCUCGGGGGAGCUGCUGGUAUCCUACGGGGCCAGCGCACGCCAGAGUAGACGUGAGGGAAUGCUGGGAGCUGCCGGGCCUCCGACCCUGACGCUGCCGGGCAGAGGGCGGCUAGGGAGGGAAGGAGCUGCCCAGAGCCAGGCCGGCCCUGGGUUCACCUGGGGUGGAGGGAGCGAGUCUGUGAGCUGGGCAGGCAGGGGGAGGUGGCUGGCACCCUCCAACAAAGCGGGGUUCACUUGUCCCCCAGUGCACUGGGCCCGGGGCUCCGUCAGGUUCUCAUGGCAUCCGUCCCCGUCCCCCCCCCCCCCCACCCGCCCAGGGCAGCAGCCCUGUUGAGUAAGUCAGUAACAAAGCCACCACCAUCUCGGACUGUCACUGCACCAGGAGAUAAAGAAACAUGACGGGUGAGCAGUAGAGGUGGGGGCAGUCUGGGAAGGCUUCCUGAGGAGGUGACAAUUAAAUGGGAUCAGAAAGACAAGAGGGAGCAAGCACUGCCAAGAGCUGAGGACAGGGACAGAGCCAGGGCGGAGGGAGAGCUUCCCUGACGCAGAGAGCAGCGGCCCCUGCCCUGCCCCGUCAGCUGUGAGUGAGGAGUGGGGGCGGCGGCUGGGCCAGGACCUGCAGGACAGGAGCUGCUUCUAUCCCAGACCCACAGGAAGCUGGGGGAGAGCUUGUUUUUUUUUUUUUUUUAAGGUUUAUUCAUUUAUCUGAAAGGCAGAGUUACAGAGAGAGAGCGAGAGAGAGAGAGACAGAGAGAGAGAGAGAGACAGAGAGAGAGACAGAGAGAGAGAGAGGUCUUCCAUCCAUUGGUUUACUCCCCAAAUGACCGCAACGUCCAGAGCUGAGCUGAUCUGAAGCCAGGAGCCAGGAGCUUCCUCCGGGUCUCCCGCAUGGGUGCAGGGGCCCAAGGACUUGAGCCAUCCUCUACUGCUUUCCCAGGCCACAGCAGAGAGCCGGAUCAGAAGUGGAUCAGCUGGGACUCGAACCAGCGCCCAUAUGGGAUGCCGGCGCUGCAGGCGACAGCUUUACCUGCUACACCACAGUGCUGGCCCCCAUGGGAGAGCUUUAAGAAGAAAGGUGUGAUCUGAUGCUUUAGUGCCUGUGUGUGUUUUUAAUUAAAAAGAUUAUUUAUUCAAGAGGCAGAGAGAGAAAGACAGCACUUCCGUCUGUUGGCUCACUCCAAAUGCCUGCAGGAGGGGCUGGGAACUCCCUCCAGGGCUCCCACGUGGGCACAGGCACCAGGCGCCGGAGCCACGCCCGCUGAUCCCAGGGUCUGCAAUGCCAGGGCGCUGGCGUCCCGAGCCAGAGCCGGGCUCAGACCCGGGCUCUCUGAUCU
Molecule: long non-coding RNA, 2215 nt
Organism: Oryctolagus cuniculus (rabbit)
Lineage: Eukaryota; Metazoa; Chordata; Mammalia; Lagomorpha; Leporidae
Source: Ensembl